This 129-nucleotide ribosomal RNA is filed under the name Klebsiella michiganensis. RNAcentral describes it as "partial 23S ribosomal RNA". It matches the Rfam family "Bacterial large subunit ribosomal RNA", at positions 2802 to 2925 of the family's 2925-position model. Lineage: Bacteria; Pseudomonadati; Pseudomonadota; Gammaproteobacteria; Enterobacterales; Enterobacteriaceae. The record is from RNAcentral.
AGAUGAGUUCUCCCUGACUCCCUGAGAGUCCUGAAGGAACGUUUAAGACGACGACGUUGAUAGGCCGGGUGUGUAAGCGCAGCGAUGCGUUGAGCUAACCGGUACUAAUGAACCGUGAGGCUUAACCUU